AGUAGAGAAGUGGUGUUCCAGGCAGGAAUUGACAUAGCAAAGAGACUCAUAUUUAAGAAAGGAGAAACAGGAAGUGUCCCUUUUCGCCUCGAUGUCUCCUCCAGUGGCAAGAGAGGGUGCCAGUGGAAGGCAUCCUCUAUAAGUCUUAUAACAUAUAUAGAUUUAUGAUAAUUAAGACUGAGCUAGCAGAUGAGAAUCCUAGUCAUUGGCCAUGCAUCUUUGUACCUAAUAUGUCUCUGUAUUAUUUGUCCAUCCACAGGCAGAACUCGGGAGGCUGGCGGAGAUUGCCCAUGAGGCAGUAGGGUUUGGGCGGCUUUGGUGGAAAGAUUUAUCAUAAGACACUAGUUUGAGUGAGAAAUAUAUAAUGAAGAAUGCUCAUACUCAGAUGACAGAACUCAUUUGGGGCCAAAAAUCUGCUGAUGAAAUUAUAGAUACAUGAAAAGACAGAAGGCAGUGCUAUCAAGAUGAAGAUGGCAUAGCAGUGGGAAGGGCAAUGAGGAAAAAAGAACUGGAGAGAAUAUAGCUGUAACUGGUUGUCAGAGAAAACAGCAGGAAAUCAGAAAUAAGGUCCUGUUUGUUUUCCAAAAAAACCUGUAAAGUUUUCAUUUUAGUGCAAUGCUAUAUCAUCUUGAAAGGACUCCAUUAGACCUUCUACAUGACUGCUUAUGCCCACAGAGAAGGAAUUGCUAACAGCUUUGGUCAGAGAAGACUUUUUUUCUCUGUUAAAUGGUAACUGCAAAGAUUCAUAACUCAUCAAAGUGCUGAGUAUAAAGGGCUGUAGAAUCGAGUAGUGAGAUAUUCAAAUUCCCGCCUACAACAGUUAGGCAUGUCACUAACUGUGGAGAGAGGGGAAAACUAUGAGAAAUCGAUGAAUGGACUGUGUGACCAGUGCUGACUCCCUAGAAAAGACAAGGCUUUGAACUCAUUGCAGCUGUCAUUUCCUGCACAAGACUGGAUCUGUCAGCAUACAGACAGAUUGUUGGUUGAUGUCAAAGUGAGAGAUAUUGUCUCAGGGGUGUAAUCACUGAUGAAGUGUCCAUGCUUCUAACAUUCCUAGCAAACCCUCACUAGCACUCCUAGUAAAUGACCAUCAUGAAACUUAUGGUGCGAGACAAAAACAACAAAACCACCACCACAACAAAAAUGCAUGAAAUCAGAACUAGUUGGGAAGAGUAAUAGCUUUGGGAGGCGACAAGGGAGGUUAAUGGGAGAAAUAUUGUCAAAAUACAUUAUGUACAUGUAGAAGAAUUAUUGCCAUAAUAAAG
RNAcentral lists this long non-coding RNA (1265 nucleotides) under Cricetulus griseus (Chinese hamster). RNAcentral describes it as "lncRNA (ENSCGRG00015033166.1)". The record is from RNAcentral. Lineage: Eukaryota; Metazoa; Chordata; Mammalia; Rodentia; Cricetidae.